AGAAAARGCCCAAAAAAAAMCAAACAAAAACUUCRCCAAAAACAAACAAAAGAAUCCUAGCAAGCAAUGCAGAGAUAUAUAUAAGGACUUUGAAGAUGCACAAAUUGAGGCUKUGUGGUUAAAGAAGAAAAGCACAAUCCUGGUAGCCCUGAAGUUAGCUGUGAGAUUCUAGGGAUUGCCAGGUAAGUUGAUAAGAACAGCAGUUCUAACAGAAGCACAAAAGAAAACUUCAACUUAAAAAUGCUGGUUUGUUAUUUAAAAUGCUUAAUCGGUGAAUUGCUGUGGUUAAAAGAAUGAUUAGAAAGUACUCUGAGUUGUAUACUACAUAAAUGAGAGAUUGGGAAAAGUUAGCAGACUAAAUUAAUAGGGUAGAGAGUUUUGGAAAGUUACAAAGUAGGAGAAACUACAGGAAUAUGACAUUGUAAGUUCAAUUCUUCCUUUCCUGAAGGAGAAAAGCUUACUGCAAAACUAUUUCUUUGUUUCCUUGAAAUCUAGAGUUGACUACUUUUUUUCUGUCCCCUCCAGUACCAUCAUAUGAAUUUGCUAGUUCUAUAACUUGCUUCUUUAUUUUCAGACUUUGCCUGCCUCCACUAAGCCCAGCUCUUGUGUUCCUCCUCCAUGUUCCAUAAUUAAGGCACUCCAGGUGAGGGCAGGUGCUUCUUUCAUAUCUCGAUUGCAGCUCCAGAGGAAGCAACAUGCAUAGUCCAGCAACUCUGGAAGGAUUAAGGCCAUCACUGGAUUUUGAAUUUAUCCUGAAGACCAGCGGAGCAAACACSUCCCUGCCACCCUGCAAGGGCUCUGCUUGCACACCCCUGGGAGCUUUGCACUUGAUCUUUAUAGCAGCACUGAAAGGCAGCAAGGUCCUGGGGAAAGAGGAGGAUCAAGCAGCUCUUGUCUGGGAACCAGAAGGGUAAGAAAAGAUCCCAUUUUAUCUUUGUUCUCAUGGAAAGUGUCACAGGAUGUUUAAUGUCCUUUCUGAGCAAAGACCUGCUGUUUUCCAGAUCUUGCCCGAAAACACAUGCAGUAUUCAGCAGGCCACUUAGUUUAUCUUUCUUGGAUAAACAGAAGGCUGCUGGAAUUUGAAACGUGUUCCAAGAGUCUAGGGUCCAAAACUGCAUGAGGUUUUCCCCUCGUCUGGGSUUUUGAAUUGAGUUUGAAAACUUAAAGACUACCAAACAACAGCACGAUUCCUAACGGGCAUGAAGGGCUGGUGUAUGUAACAGAGUUCUGGUGUUUUUUCCACUCUUGAGUGUUGCCUGACUUUGGAACCGCUUAAAAAUAUCUUACGAAAUGCCUGAGAGCACUGAUCCACAAAUCCUGGUACUGACUUUGCCUCGACGGGAAGAAAAAAAAAAAUCUCUCUUAAUGCGACGAAAGCUCCCGUGGCACUGCUGAGACGCACUUUUCCGUGUUGGUGAAGGCACCACGAAGGAGAGACGCGGACUCCCUCCGAUCCAGCCUGACGGAGCCGGGCGAGGGGCAGCCAGGUGGGCGAG
Malurus melanocephalus (red-backed fairy wren) is the source of this 1496-nucleotide long non-coding RNA. RefSeq lists it as uncharacterized. The transcript has 3 exons. NCBI's taxonomy places the organism in Eukaryota, Metazoa, Chordata, Aves, Passeriformes, Maluridae. The record is from RefSeq and is a predicted model, not a curated record.